RNAcentral lists this long non-coding RNA (554 nucleotides) under Ictidomys tridecemlineatus (thirteen-lined ground squirrel). Its description in RNAcentral is "lncRNA (ENSSTOG00000032025.1)". Lineage: Eukaryota; Metazoa; Chordata; Mammalia; Rodentia; Sciuridae. The record is from RNAcentral.
AUACCACAUACUUUGUAACUAAGAAAAUUAUUGUUUUUUUACAGCACCAGAAGCUGGGAAGUCCAAUAUCAAGUUGUCAGCAUUUGGCAAGAAUCCUCUUGCAGCGUUAUCCCACAGCAGAAGGCAAGAAGCACAGUUGAUGCCUCCCUCAAAAACAAGCUUCACUCAUGGACAGUAGAUGAAAGGUUGAAGAAUCUAGUUUCAAGAUCAAGCACAAGAAUCGCAUUAGCAAUGAGAAGCUAAAAACUUACAACAUGGAAAGUGAACAUUACAACAAAAAUUUUGACAAAGUGAAACCUGAAGAAUAAAAUGCUCCAGUUAUAUUCCUAAGACCAUAGCUUUGGAAGGAAGUGAAAGUCAGGAAGAAAAUCAUGACCACUUAUGGGGCUGGAAUUGUGGCUCAGUGGUAGAGCCUCCUCUAACACAUGCGAGGCCCUGGGUUCCAUCCUCAGUACCACAUAAAAAUAAAUUAAUAAAAUAAAGGUGUUGGUUAAAAAAAAGAAAAGAAAAUGAUGACCACUUAGACCUUCAAAUGAGUAAGAUCUGCAACUAAC